UCUGCCCAGAUAAGUGCUGCAGGUAUAGCUACUGUGACACAUGUGCUCCAAUAGGUGGCAGAGAGGAGAGAGGUUAUUUCUAUGCUGAGUAUUCUGAUUUAUGAACAUCUAACAUAGCCUAACAUU
This is a small nucleolar RNA of Apodemus sylvaticus (European woodmouse), 126 nucleotides long. RefSeq annotates it as small nucleolar RNA SNORA17. The record is from RefSeq and is a predicted model, not a curated record. Lineage: Eukaryota; Metazoa; Chordata; Mammalia; Rodentia; Muridae. The transcript has a single exon.